This 1363-nucleotide ribosomal RNA is filed under the name Vibrio parahaemolyticus. RNAcentral's name for it is "bacterial SSU rRNA". It matches the Rfam family "Bacterial small subunit ribosomal RNA", at positions 198 to 1533 of the family's 1533-position model. Lineage: Bacteria; Pseudomonadati; Pseudomonadota; Gammaproteobacteria; Vibrionales; Vibrionaceae. The record is from RNAcentral.
GGGCCAAAGAGGGGGACCUUCGGGCCUCUCGCGUCAGGAUAUGCCUAGGUGGGAUUAGCUAGUUGGUGAGGUAAGGGCUCACCAAGGCGACGAUCCCUAGCUGGUCUGAGAGGAUGAUCAGCCACACUGGAACUGAGACACGGUCCAGACUCCUACGGGAGGCAGCAGUGGGGAAUAUUGCACAAUGGGCGCAAGCCUGAUGCAGCCAUGCCGCGUGUGUGAAGAAGGCCUUCGGGUUGUAAAGCACUUUCAGUCGUGAGGAAGGUAGUGUAGUUAAUAGCUGCAUUAUUUGACGUUAGCGACAGAAGAAGCACCGGCUAACUCCGUGCCAGCAGCCGCGGUAAUACGGAGGGUGCGAGCGUUAAUCGGAAUUACUGGGCGUAAAGCGCAUGCAGGUGGUUUGUUAAGUCAGAUGUGAAAGCCCGGGGCUCAACCUCGGAAUUGCAUUUGAAACUGGCAGACUAGAGUACUGUAGAGGGGGGUAGAAUUUCAGGUGUAGCGGUGAAAUGCGUAGAGAUCUGAAGGAAUACCGGUGGCGAAGGCGGCCCCCUGGACAGAUACUGACACUCAGAUGCGAAAGCGUGGGGAGCAAACAGGAUUAGAUACCCUGGUAGUCCACGCCGUAAACGAUGUCUACUUGGAGGUUGUGGCCUUGAGCCGUGGCUUUCGGAGCUAACGCGUUAAGUAGACCGCCUGGGGAGUACGGUCGCAAGAUUAAAACUCAAAUGAAUUGACGGGGGCCCGCACAAGCGGUGGAGCAUGUGGUUUAAUUCGAUGCAACGCGAAGAACCUUACCUACUCUUGACAUCCAGAGAACUUUCCAGAGAUGGAUUGGUGCCUUCGGGAACUCUGAGACAGGUGCUGCAUGGCUGUCGUCAGCUCGUGUUGUGAAAUGUUGGGUUAAGUCCCGCAACGAGCGCAACCCUUAUCCUUGUUUGCCAGCGAGUAAUGUCGGGAACUCCAGGGAGACUGCCGGUGAUAAACCGGAGGAAGGUGGGGACGACGUCAAGUCAUCAUGGCCCUUACGAGUAGGGCUACACACGUGCUACAAUGGCGCAUACAGAGGGCGGCCAACUUGCGAAAGUGAGCGAAUCCCAAAAAGUGCGUCGUAGUCCGGAUUGGAGUCUGCAACUCGACUCCAUGAAGUCGGAAUCGCUAGUAAUCGUGGAUCAGAAUGCCACGGUGAAUACGUUCCCGGGCCUUGUACACACCGCCCGUCACACCAUGGGAGUGGGCUGCAAAAGAAGUAGGUAGUUUAACCUUCGGGGGGACGCUUACCACUUUGUGGUUCAUGACUGGGGUGAAGUCGUAACAAGGUAGCGCUAGGGGAACCUGGCGCUGGAUCACCUCCUUAAACGAUGAU